This 217-nucleotide unclassified non-coding RNA is filed under the name soil metagenome. RNAcentral describes it as "partial contains 5.8S ribosomal RNA, internal transcribed spacer 2, and large subunit ribosomal RNA". The record is from RNAcentral.
AACAAGGCGUACCUGCGGACCUGCGGAGGGAUCAUUACAGAGUGUAAAAACUCCCAAAACCCAUGUGAACAUACCUUUUUGUUGCUUCGGCGGGAUCGCCCCGGGCGCCUUGUGUGCCCCGGAGUCAGGCGCCCGCCGGGGGACCCAAACUCUUGUUUUUAACGAGUAUCUUCUGAGUAACGUUUUUAAAUAAAUAAAAACUUUUAACAACGGAUCU